UACGUAGGGGGCAAGCGUUGUCCGGAAUUAUUGGGCGUAAAGAGCGCGUAGGCGGUCUGAUAAGUCGGUUGUGAAAGUCGGGGGCUCAACCCUCGGAUGCCGAUCGAUACUGUCAGGCUAGAGUCCGGAAGAGGCGAGUGGAAUUCCUGGUGUAGCGGUGAAAUGCGCAGAUAUCAGGAGGAACACCAAUGGCGAAGGCAGCUCGCUGGGACGGUACUGACGCUGAGGAGCGAAAGCGUGGGGAGCGAACAGG
RNAcentral lists this ribosomal RNA (253 nucleotides) under uncultured bacterium. RNAcentral's name for it is "partial 16S ribosomal RNA". It matches the Rfam family "Bacterial small subunit ribosomal RNA", at positions 524 to 776 of the family's 1533-position model. The record is from RNAcentral.